UACGUAGGUGGCGAGCGUUGUCCGGAUUUACUGGGCGUAAAGGGAGCGUAGGCGGACUUUUAAGUGAGAUGUGAAAUACUCGGGCUCAACUUGAGUGCUGCAUUUCAUACUGGAAGUCUAGAGUGCAGGAGAGGAGAAUGGAAUUCCUAGUGUAGCGGUGAAAUGCGUAGAGAUUAGGAAGAACACCAGUGGCGAAGGCGAUUCUCUGGACUGUAACUGACGCUGAGGCUCGAAAGCGUGGGGAGCAAACAGG
Molecule: ribosomal RNA, 253 nt
Filed under: uncultured bacterium
Lineage: Bacteria
Description: partial 16S ribosomal RNA
Rfam family: Bacterial small subunit ribosomal RNA
Source: RNAcentral